GGGUGUGAGGACUGCCACAUCUGUCACCCCAUUGAUCGUCAGAGUUGAUUUGGCUGAUAUGGCUGACUAGGUAGGCCUCCCCUUCUGCCCUCACUGCUCCAUGUGCAUCCCUUCCAAAGCUGGGCACUUCAUCCAAGAGGACGACCUUCCCCAAGUAGAGGUGGACCAGUCUUCGGCCAUGGCAUACAGAAGCUGCAUUCUCCUGCUAUGACCUCCAAACAGUUUCUCAAGAAACAGUGUCCCACAUGGGGGACUGGAGGCUCUACAUUACUGCCUCCAGGAGCAGGUUGAUGACUGCACUGUUUUUU
This 308-nucleotide small nuclear RNA is filed under the name Erinaceus europaeus (western European hedgehog). RNAcentral describes it as "7SK RNA". It matches the Rfam family "7SK RNA". From Rfam's summary of the family: 7SK was discovered as an abundant small nuclear RNA in the mid-70s but a possible function has only recently been suggested. Two independent studies have found that 7SK RNA binds the CDK9/cyclin T complex (known as elongation factor P-TEFb). P-TEFb activates transcription by phosphorylating the C-terminal domain of RNA polymerase II. Lineage: Eukaryota; Metazoa; Chordata; Mammalia; Eulipotyphla; Erinaceidae. The record is from Rfam by way of RNAcentral.